Marchantia polymorpha subsp. ruderalis is the source of this 141-nucleotide non-coding RNA. NCBI's taxonomy places the organism in Eukaryota, Viridiplantae, Streptophyta, Marchantiopsida, Marchantiales, Marchantiaceae. The record is from the annotation of a GenBank genome assembly.
CGGUUGAGUGAGAUUACCAAGCUUAAAUGACAUGUCCAAGGUGUAUUCGAGAUGUGGCAUGGCGGUAAUAGCUGCUGAGAGUUUAUGUGAUGUUCGGCAAGCCGGGCAUGUCAUAUGAGCUUGGUAGUUUUUACUCAGCCG